GAUGAACGCUGCGGCGUGCCUAACACAUGCAAGUCGAGCGAGGGUUUGCUCAGUAUUGAGUAUUCUAAGACUAGAAUGUUCAAUUCUGAGCAAAACCAAGCGGCGGACGGGUGAGUAACGCGUGGGUAACCUGCCCUAUACACAUGGAUAACAUACUGAAAAGUUUACUAAUACAUGAUAAUAUAUAUUUGCGGCAUCGCAGAUAUAUCAAAGUGUUAGCGGUAUAGGAUGGACCCGCGUCUGAUUAGCUAGUUGGUGAGAUAACUGCCCACCAAGGCGACGAUCAGUAGCCGACCUGAGAGGGUGAUCGGCCACAUUGGAACUGAGACACGGUCCAAACUCCUACGGGAGGCAGCAGUGGGGAAUAUUGCACAAUGGGCGAAAGCCUGAUGCAGCAACGCCGCGUGAACGAUGAAGGUCUUCGGAUCGUAAAGUUCUGUUGCAGGGGAAGAUAAUGACGGUACCCUGUGAGGAAGCCCCGGCUAACUACAA
RNAcentral lists this ribosomal RNA (492 nucleotides) under Peptostreptococcus stomatis. RNAcentral describes it as "bacterial SSU rRNA". It matches the Rfam family "Bacterial small subunit ribosomal RNA", at positions 28 to 506 of the family's 1533-position model. Lineage: Bacteria; Bacillati; Bacillota; Clostridia; Peptostreptococcales; Peptostreptococcaceae. The record is from RNAcentral.